RNAcentral lists this microRNA precursor (65 nucleotides) under Ovis aries (sheep). Its description in RNAcentral is "miRNA (ENSOARG00000023181.1)". The record is from RNAcentral. Lineage: Eukaryota; Metazoa; Chordata; Mammalia; Artiodactyla; Bovidae.
UCACCGCAGUCUCUAGUGAGAGAGCUGUGGCUGCAGGGGAGUGGCUGUCUCUGGAGGUGGUACUG